GGAUUGUGAGCCUGCCCAUGUGUCUGGGGGGAUUAUCUGGCUUAGCCUGAAAUGAGAAAUAAGAAAUAGUGGGGCAGGGCGUGGUGGCUCAUGCCUGUAAUCCCAGCA
Sapajus apella (tufted capuchin) is the source of this 108-nucleotide long non-coding RNA. RefSeq lists it as uncharacterized. The record is from RefSeq and is a predicted model, not a curated record. Lineage: Eukaryota; Metazoa; Chordata; Mammalia; Primates; Cebidae. The transcript has 3 exons.